Non-coding RNA from Nomia melanderi (Alkali bee), 1685 nucleotides. The record is from RefSeq and is a predicted model, not a curated record. Lineage: Eukaryota; Metazoa; Arthropoda; Insecta; Hymenoptera; Halictidae.
GAACAAGAACAAGAACAAGACGAGGACGAGAAGGAUAAUAAAAAGGCAAAAAUAAAUUCGCAACAAGGAGAAACGAACCAAGAAUGCGAACUGCGACAGAAAAGACAGAGUGGAAUAUCGUUGAAGGAUAAAAGUGUCACAGUUGGCGUUGAUACGUGUAAAUGAAGAUAGAACGUGGACGAGAAAUUGCUUUUACAGUGGUUAAACGACAGGUGCACUAUUCACCUGAGGGGCAACAAUUUCGAUUCGUGUUACACGCGUCGAACUUUAAAGCUCGAUGAAACAACGGACGAGUCGUUUCGAGGAAAAAAGUGCAAUCCUUGAGAGAGGUGUACGAUGCGCGUGUGAAAGUAUGAGCGUUUAUUUCUUCGGAAAACUCAUUUUUUCUCUUGAUAAUAAUACGAAUAAUAAUAUCCACGCAUGAACCGAUAGAGAGAUCGAUACGAUCACGAAGCAGUCAUACUCGGAUAGGCGUUUAAAUUUACCUAAUCAUCUAUUAUUCCUAUCAGUUCUGAAUGUGUUUUGUAAGAAGGAAUAUCUAAAGUGAACAUUUCAGUAGAGAGAAUUGCAAAGCAUUCUCGGGUACCUUGAAGGAUUCGUCGCGUCUAAUUUGUCUUAGACUCGGAAAGCUGUCCAUGACUUUUAUUUACAUACGAGACAGAGAACGACAAAGCUAAGGUUUCACGCGUGCACAAUACAUUGCAGUGUCCUGCUGUUGUUCGUAAAAAAAUAGAAGCGUAAAUAUCUACGUUAGAAAAUAAAUCGAAUUUUACUACGAAUUGUAAAUAUUCCAUCGGAACUCGUAGAUUAAGCGUUUGAUCGGUACAUCUGGUGCAAUCGUAGGAAUUUGCAAAGAUUAAUAUCCUUUGGAAAGAAGGUAGAUGUAAACUGUGUGCUGCGGAUGAUGCGAAUAAUAGAAUUUGAGAUGAAAACGAAGCGAACGAAUUGUUUCCUUCGCCAAGCGAAGGUGUCUAGAUGGGCAUAAUAUUAAGAAUAGCAUUGUGCAGCGAUCUUUUCUUUUUCUUUCUUUUCUCUACUAGUUUGCAACGCAGAAAAAACGCCUAUCCUGUAGAACAGAAGAAAACGUCGAACGAAUCGUCCUAAAGGAAAGUAACGAUAAAUAAGAUUCACUUGCUCAGAUUUUCUUUGAGCGAGAAAGGGGGGAAGAAUGUAUUGUAAAAAGGAGAAAAAUAUUGGAAAAAUGAAUUAGUAUUAAUGUCGAUACUAACGCUACUAUUACUUAUCGUUGUCGCUCUAAUUGUAAUUAAUAUUGCUACUACCGUGAAUUUUUUCACUGCUGCAUCUAUUAUUACGAAAUUAGUUGCCGGUAAUAUUCAUGUUUUGUAAAUUAUAUGUAAAUUUGAAGCCGCAGAAGGAUCGUAGGUAAUUGUGAAUCUUCUAUUUUUACAAAAUUUCUUUGAUAACGUAACGAGACAAGAAUAACGAGUAUUAAUUUUGUCACAAACUCUGUAAAGUGUACGAUCAGUGGAUGAAUUCAGUAACGAGACAACACGCGGUAUCAAAGAAACGAAGAUGCGACUAAUCGACGUUGGUACUCGUGUAAUAUUGCAUCUUGGAGAAAGCGAAACGGUAUUUUUGCUCUAUACACACCAUCCAUUGAAUUCUCAUCGACGAGCGUGAUUGUUGCGUGGAUGUGAAUGCGAAUGCGAAUAUGUAUGCGUGAU